ACAGAAUUAAAACCCGUGUUCUUAUGGACUAUAAAAUUCCUUGCAUUGACAUUGCUCUCUGGACAUUGCUGAAACUCAACGAGCAAGACUUAUUUCGAAGUAUAGCUAUCUGUUUUCACCAGUGAACUCUAUUGGUUAUCUUAUGAACGCCAUUCGUUUACGCCAAGACUUCUCCGUGCGUGCUAUGGCUAUGCGGUACAACGAUAAUAUAUAAUACGAUACAUACAGUUAAAC
Molecule: non-coding RNA, 234 nt
Organism: Paramuricea clavata
Lineage: Eukaryota; Metazoa; Cnidaria; Anthozoa; Malacalcyonacea; Plexauridae
Source: the annotation of a GenBank genome assembly